GUACUCCAAUAUCAUCUCUUACCAAUUGGGAUAGAACCAGAGAACACACUUACAGGAUUUCAUGUAGCUGAGAUAGUGAUAUCAGAUUGACAAGAUUCUAUAACCUUUAUAUGGUCCAGCACCGUAAAUUUAAGAAAGAAUCCCCUGGCAAUAGUGAAUGUCUGAGAGCUCUUAGGUAAUAGAUUAGGAACAUCCAAUUUAAACUUUUUCCAAGGCUGCUGCUGCUGUCUUUUCUCUAUAAUUUCCUCUAUCACAAGUUCUGUAGACUUAAACAUUUCUCUGAUCCAGUGGAAUUGAGAUAAUCACCAUUUGCAUCCUCAAAGUUAUAUCAGGAAGGUGGUUCUUUUUCUUACUUUUUUUUCCUUCUAAAAACAGCUUGUCAGAUUUGUAUCAAUAAGACUUCAUCUUUUAGCCAUGCAACAUCCCCUCCAAUUUGCUACCCCAUUAUCCAUUAAAAGCUUCCAAACAUGAAGAAAGGUCAACGCUGGUGAUCAAAGUUCGAAAAGAGAACUGCAGAUAAUAGGAUCAUAGUAGAGAAUAUACAGUCAAAUGCCAAUCUGAUGGAGGAAAGGCGAAUGGUUCACCAGCCUACAAGUAGCAGAAAAGAAAUAGGUAAUUUAGAUAUGAUUCUGAGUAUCUUUU
This 642-nucleotide long non-coding RNA is filed under the name Nicotiana benthamiana. RNAcentral's name for it is "long non-coding RNA (NBEN_LNC041765)". The record is from RNAcentral. Lineage: Eukaryota; Viridiplantae; Streptophyta; Magnoliopsida; Solanales; Solanaceae.